Molecule: ribosomal RNA, 465 nt
Filed under: uncultured bacterium
Lineage: Bacteria
Description: partial 16S ribosomal RNA
Rfam family: Bacterial small subunit ribosomal RNA
Source: RNAcentral
GACGAACGCUGGCGGCGUGCUUAACACAUGCAAGUCGAACGGAAAGGCCCCUUUGGGAGUACCCGAGUGGCGAACGGGUGAGUAACACGUGAGUAACCUGCCCUUGACUUCGGGAUAACUUCAGGAAACUGGGGCUAAUACCGGAUAGGAAUCCUUGCUGCAUGGUGGGGGUUGGAAAGCUUCGGCGGUUUUGGAUGGACUCGCGGCUUAUCAGCUUGUUGGUGGGGUAGUGGCUUACCAAGGCCUUGACGGGUAGCCGGCCUGAGAGGGCGACCGGCCACAUUGGGACUGAGAUACGGCCCAGACUCCUACGGGAGGCAGCAGUGGGGAAUAUUGCACAAUGGGCGGAAGCCUGAUGCAGCAACGCCGCGUGCGGGAUGACGGCCUUCGGGUUGUAAACCGCUUUCAGCAGGGGCGAAGCUUGUGGUGACGGUACCUGCAGAAGAAGCACCGGCUAACUACGUG